This 431-nucleotide ribosomal RNA is filed under the name uncultured archaeon. RNAcentral's name for it is "bacterial SSU rRNA". It matches the Rfam family "Archaeal small subunit ribosomal RNA", at positions 474 to 903 of the family's 1478-position model. The record is from RNAcentral.
UACCAGCUCUCCGAGUGGUAGGGAUGAUUAUUGGGCUUAAAGCGUCCGUAGCCGGCUUAGCAAGUCUCCUGUUAAAUUCAGCGACCUAAUCGUUGAGCCGCGGGAGAUACUACUAGGCUAGGAGGCGGGAGAGGUCAACGGUACUUCCGGGGUAGGGGUGAAAUCCUAUAAUCCCGGGAGGACCACCAGUGGCGAAGGCUGUUGACUAGAACGCGCUCGACGGUGAGGGACGAAAGCUGGGGGAGCGAACCGGAUUAGAUACCCGGGUAGUCCCAGCUGUAAACGAUGCGAGCUAGGUGUUGGGGUGGCUACGUGCCACUUCAGUGCCGCAGGGAAGCCAUUAAGCUCGCCGCCUGGGGAGUACGGCCGCAAGGCUGAAACUUAAAGGAAUUGGGCGGGGGAGCGACCACAAGGCGUGAAGCUUGCGGUUC